This 622-nucleotide long non-coding RNA is filed under the name Sus scrofa (pig). Its description in RNAcentral is "lncRNA (ENSSSCG00025062314.1, ENSSSCG00035039861.1)". Lineage: Eukaryota; Metazoa; Chordata; Mammalia; Artiodactyla; Suidae. The record is from RNAcentral.
AGUGGCUUUUGGCCAGAAACUGCACCAUCAGCCUUUCUUUAAGGCUCUGCGUGAUGUGCCUUCCCCACUAAUCUAAUCUCCGACGUGGUGUACGGUCAUGUCUGCUGUUUUUUCUUUGUGAGGAGACAGUCAUGAAGCCCAGCCCACACCCAGGAGGAGGGAAGUUCUUGUGCUUUCAGAUAGGAAGGUCCUGAGCAUCUAUUGCAAAUCAGUUCUCUCACAGCUCUACAUUCUGCCUCCACAAAAUAAUGAAAAAAUAUAUGUUUUGGAAUCAAGGCAAGCAUCACAAGCCAGGUAGCCACACUGUGGACUGAAAGAUAAGUGGAGAGCCAGAAGAGGAAAACAGACCCAAGGAUGAUUAAUUUUCCCUGAACCAGAACAGCAUACUCUGAUCGGAGAAAACCAGCCUCACUUAACAUUUAACAAACCACUAUCCACAGAAUGAAUUUCCAUGGUAACCCAGGGCUGCAGAGUACCAAACUUCUGGAUCAGCCCAUUUUGUGCGUCCUGGUCACAUCUUGUGCCAUCUGACUCUUACUGAAUGUCUGCUGUGCGUAAGGCUUGUGGUGCGUCUCAUCAUUACCAGAUAGAAUUUGGACGAAACCCAACCACCCUCUCCAAU